GUGAAUCAUCGAAUCUUUGAACGCACAUUGCGCCCACCAGUAUUCUGGUGGGCAUGCCUGUCUGAGCGUCAUUUCAACCCUCACACUCCUAGGGUGUGGUGUUGGGGAUCGGCCAAAGCCCGCAAGGGACGGCCGGCCCCUAAAUCUAGUGGCGGACCCGUUGUGGCCUCCUCUGCGAAGUAGUAAUAUUCCGCAUUAGAGAAGCAGCGAGCCCCUGCCGUAAAACCCCCAACUUUCUAAGGUUGACCUCAGAUCAGGUAGGAAUACCCGCUGAACUUAAGCAUAUCAAUAAGCGGAGGA
Molecule: unclassified non-coding RNA, 300 nt
Filed under: Clonostachys sp.
Lineage: Eukaryota; Fungi; Ascomycota; Sordariomycetes; Hypocreales; Bionectriaceae
Description: partial contains 5.8S ribosomal RNA, internal transcribed spacer 2, and large subunit ribosomal RNA
Rfam family: 5.8S ribosomal RNA (bases 1-71)
Source: RNAcentral